UAUACUUUAUUAUAUGAUGUAUAAAAAUUUUUGAUAUUUUAGGGAAUAGUUUGAAUCUAUUAAGUGUAA
Molecule: transfer RNA, 69 nt
Filed under: Curculionidae sp. 6 AH-2016
Lineage: Eukaryota; Metazoa; Arthropoda; Insecta; Coleoptera; Curculionidae
Description: tRNA-Gln
Source: RNAcentral